UAGGUUGUUUUUUUUUGUAGGUCUGUGAUGUGAAAGCAGAGCUCACCAUCUUAAAUUCAGUUGAAAUCUUAUGUCCUUUUAUAUAAUCUCCCUACCCAUGGAGUACUCAGUAUGACUAAGGAAUCCCUGUGAACACAUCAGGUUAUUGUGAACACAUCUGUGAUUCUACGAUUCUACUUGGGACUGGUUGAAACGAGUCUUCAGUUACAUAUCUGAGCAUUGCAGCCAUCUAACCCUGCUUCUUAGGUCCUCUCAUCCUCUUAAUACAAGUGCAUGUUGAAUUUUAGUCAGCCAGGAAAUGUUGACCUGUGAGGCCAAGGUGUGUUUGGCAUGCUGUAAUGUCAGGCUGUUACAGGGGUGCCCUCAGCUGAUGGGGAGUGGCUGCAAUGGUAAGCAUGCAUGCCUUUGUUAAACAUAAUCAGCAUAUCGGUAGUGUUUAUACCUGGCUUGAUUUAUUUCCACUGGGACAGUGUUUUAUUCUGCUUUAGAUCCAACAUAGAAGAGAUCUGGCAUAUCUUUGUUAACACUAGAUACAUAAAGUGCUCAAGAAAACAUUGAAAUCAAAGCUUUGCUCAUAUUUAUAUUUCUGUUCUGGGUGCGAUUUUGGAAGCAAAGUUGAAUCUUACAAUUAAACAGAGUGACACAGAAGUCCUCCUCCUCAGAGCUGCAAAGAUAGGCCACCACAGCAGCUGGCAAACCUGCCUUUUGCAGUGUAGAGCGGUGGUGUUAGUGUCCCAACACAGUCUCCACAGAGAAUCUCCAAUAUUACGAUCUUCUCCCCGAUAUCUGUAAGAGAUUUUCUAAAAAAGCCCUGGUGGUGUCCAGGCAGGUACAUGAUCACAGUCAUCACAAGAGGAGGUUAGUACAGCUGCCUUUUCCUUACCAGAGAUGUACUCCUGCUCCUAACUUAUGAUCAUGUACCGAGUUUACUGUGCUCCCUCUUUUCAUGCCACAUUUAAUAUCAUGUCAAUGUGCAUGUAAUAAAACUUGAAGAUCACUAAAUAUUUUCUAUGGCAUUAAAUACAUAGAAAUAGAGCAGUCAGCAGCUAGGAACUGUAACUUUAUCAGCAACACCACUACUACCAUCACUAUCAGUACUUAAACUGGAUGCUCCAGCUCUACCUAGCUGCUGUUGCCUAAAUGUAUUUUAGCAGCAUGCAACACAAGUUCUUCCUGCACCAGUCAGGCAUUAUAUCUUAAGCACAAUGAUAGAAAUAUAAAUAAAAUAACAAUUUAAAAGCCCAACCACAACAAAAUACCACCUCUGGUUUUAACAAUGAGACAGCAAAAGCUUAAAAAGAUAUUCUUCUAGCUGGCUGUUGCAGUUACUCAAGAAAAUUUUCAAGAAAUUGCAAUUUUACUGUUUCAGGCCGGAGGAAAAAACCCCAAACCAACCAGUCCAAACAAAUUGCUCAUAGAAGAAGAAAAAAAUAAUUUAAAGUUUAAAAUAGCAUUUUAAAAACAGAAAAACAAAUCCCAAGGCUUAUCAUUCCCUUGCAUAAUAUAUCUAAGCAGAGCUAAGGCCUUUUUUCCAUACACAGGCUUCUUUCCAAGUAGAGAGGACCAGAAUAGCACGCAGUUUUGAAAACUAUCCCAUUACUUUGGAGCAAAUUUAGCCUUCAGUUUUGUAUGCAUCGUGGGCAGCUUCAGUUUCAACCUUCAAGCUAUUAUAUAUGUAAUGGUAUUUUAGAAAUAUAUAUGACGAAUAGUAUAUAUUUUAUUGGUGAUAGUUACUGGAAUUUGUUAUUGUGCAAAGGUAUAAUUGUAGAGAUACAGUUUUGCUUACUGUUAAAUAUUCAAAGCCUGAGUUACAUGGGAGAGCUGGGAUAUAAAGCAGGGCUUUUGUUUUUUGUUUCUUUUUUGUUUUUGUUUUUUUUCUCGUUGCUGGCUUUUACUGUAGGCCAAUUAAAGAACUUGGCAGUGGGGUUUUUUUAUCGUUUCUGGAACAUGUCAAAACUUCCUAACUCACAUGUUUUCCAGAUGCUGAAAUGAAGGCACCUAAGUUUUGCAGGCUUUAUUUUUAUCCAUCAGUGACAGUCUUGGAACAAGUGGCAUUCAAUCAAUAAGCCACAUUUUCUUUUUUUCAAGGUAGCUAUAAGAGUAUGAUAUAGCGAAAAGAACUGUAACACUGUGAACUGCAGUUCAUAUGAGAAAUUACUGUCCCAGCUCCUAAUGCCAAGUGCACUGAACUGGAAUAAGCAGAGCUGGAAUGAAACAGAAAAUAAAAACCAAAAGUUGACUCCCUGCCUUUAAUCAGGAAGCAGUACCGUGACCCCUGUAAGUAUCAAAUAACCCAUAAAAAGAGCUCAUGUUGUAACAACUCUUUGGAAAACUACAUGGAAUUAAGGGGCCAAAAGCUGGGAUCAGGAAGUGGCUGCACCCUGAUGGCUGUCAUUUCCCCUGCGCGUAACUCCUGUUUACUGCCAGCUGCUUUCUUACAGACACAUCACCCGGGCUUUGACACGACUGGGCCCGUCACUGACUCAGAACUAGUAAACUUUGUGUGGCUACUGGCUCAUUUGUGCUGUUCUUUGCAAACGACAAGGUCAGCCUGGGGAAAGAAAAAUAAAAUCAAAAAUAGUCAUCGGAUCUUUCACAAUCCUCUGCUCGGAUUAGGGCACAAAGCUAUACCGUUCAGAAGAAGCGAGAUUGUCUUUCCCUACAGCUACGACACUGCGCUGAUCUCGACACAGCCUGCUUUUCCCUCCAUUUACCUGGGCGGCUGCUGCUGUUUCUGCUGCUGCUGAGGCUGCCACAGUCUCGCUGCCUGCACUUCACCCCGGCUUGGCUGACUCAAAACUCACUCGUCUGCACAUUGCUACGAACAGCGAUGGAGUUGCUUUUUUUCUGUUGGUUCUGGAAGCAAAGAGUUGCAAUAUGUGAUGACUUUGGGAUUUUCUUUGGGGGGGAUGUGGAGGGAGGAGAAAGGAGGGGUGUUAUUCUAGGUUGGGGUGGGUGAAAGCUUAAAGAAAUAUUAUGUAAAGUAAUCCAGUGCUUGACAAGGGCAUCAGCAGCAAGAAUCCAGCCUCUGCUUCUCCAGAGGAUUAACAUGGGGAAGCCACAGUGCUGCAGUCGGGUUUCACCUCAGCGUUGUGCUGGAGAUGGAUAAAUAAGGUAUUGGUUGUGUCUGCCUGUUAAGGCAAAGCCACGGGAGAAGGAGAGAGCGAGUGAAUGCAAAUGCAAAGGAAGAAGAAAUGCUACAUGCCGUUUGUCUGAUUCUGGGCAUUCUUAUUGCAGAGAGGAUGGCUCGAUUAACAAAGAAAUGUAUGGAUGGCGGGGACUGUAAAUUGUAGCUUGAACACUCCUGAAGCUGUCAGGGAAGGAACAGAUGAGCUAGGUGGUUGCAGCGAUAUCCCCAGGGAAAACAGCAGCCAUGCACUCUGUGUGUAUAUAUAUGUAUGUAAAUGCUUUUGUGUGUGUGUGAGCAUGUACAGACAUGAAAGAAAGACAUUUCUGACCAAUUUACAGAGGAAGUUUGUCACUUCGCUAGGUCAGACUUGAUUGCAGCUUGCAUUUUCAGCUAUAGCUCUACACCCAUUUCCUGACUGAGGCGGCACUUUGUGAAAACAGAUGGUAGGCAGAAUUCUUUUAAGAAACGUGAAAGCAGAUCCUUUCCGCUUAACACCUUGAAGCACUGAGUCUUCUGCACUGUGCUGUGAGAAACUGUGGGGUUUCGUUUCUCCAUUUUAAAAUCUUUAUAAACACAGCUGUAUUCAGUAUGGUGAAAAAUUCUAUACUGUAAAUAGAAAUGUGAUCAAUCUAAUCAAAAUAAAUGCAUCCCAGAUGACUUCUA
This is an RNA transcript of Pezoporus occidentalis (night parrot), 3793 nucleotides long. RefSeq lists it as uncharacterized. Lineage: Eukaryota; Metazoa; Chordata; Aves; Psittaciformes; Psittacidae. The record is from RefSeq and is a predicted model, not a curated record. The transcript has 3 exons.